AGUGAACGCUGGCGGUAGGCCUAACACAUGCAAGUCGAACGGCAGCACAGUAAGAGCUUGCUCUUACGGGUGGCGAGUGGCGGACGGGUGAGGAAUACAUCGGAAUCUACUUUUUCGUGGGGGAUAACGUAGGGAAACUUACGCUAAUACCGCAUACGACCUACGGGUGAAAGCAGGGGAUCUUCGGACCUUGCGCGAUUGAAUGAGCCGAUGUCGGAUUAGCUAGUUGGCGGGGUAAAGGCCCACCAAGGCGACGAUCCGUAGCUGGUCUGAGAGGAUGAUCAGCCACACUGGAACUGAGACACGGUCCAGACUCCUACGGGAGGCAGCAGUGGGGAAUAUUGGACAAUGGGCGCAAGCCUGAUCCAGCCAUACUGCGUGGGUGAAGAAGGCCUUCGGGUUGUAAAGCCCUUUUGUUGGGAAAGAAAAGCAGCAGGUUGAUACCCCGCUGUUCUGACGGUACCCAAAGAAUAAGCACCGGCUAACUUCGUG
This 492-nucleotide ribosomal RNA is filed under the name uncultured bacterium. RNAcentral's name for it is "partial 16S ribosomal RNA". It matches the Rfam family "Bacterial small subunit ribosomal RNA", at positions 29 to 507 of the family's 1533-position model. The record is from RNAcentral.